GAUUAACGCUGGCGGCGUGCAUAACACAUGCAAGUCGAACGAUGAAACUUUAAUGAACCCUUCGGGGAGAAUUAAAGCGGAUUAGUGGCGAACGGGUGAGUAACGCGUGAGUAACCUGCCUUACACAAGGGGAUAGCCUUUGGAAACGAAGAAUAAUACCCUAUAAAACCAUAAAAGCACAUGCAAUUAUGGUCAAAGUGAUAGCGGUGUAAGAUGGACUUGCGUCUGAUUAGCUAGUUGGUGAGAUAAAAGCCCACCAAGGCAUCGAUCAGUAGCCGGCUUGAGAGAGUGUACGGCCACAUUGGGACUGAGACACGGCCCAGACUCCUACGGGAGGCAGCAGUGGGGAAUUUUGCACAAUGGGGGAAACCCUGAUGCAGCGACGCCGCGUGAUUUAGAAGGCCUUCGGGUUGUAAAAAUCUUUUGUAUAGGAAGAAAAUGACAGUACUAUACGAAUAAGGUCCGGCUAAUUACGUG
RNAcentral lists this ribosomal RNA (477 nucleotides) under uncultured bacterium. Its description in RNAcentral is "partial 16S ribosomal RNA". It matches the Rfam family "Bacterial small subunit ribosomal RNA", at positions 28 to 507 of the family's 1533-position model. The record is from RNAcentral.